GGGCGGUUAGCUCAGCUGGCUAGAGCGACUCGUUUACACCGAGUAGGCCGGGGGUUCGAGUCCCUCACCGCCCACCA
RNAcentral lists this transfer RNA (77 nucleotides) under bacterium. RNAcentral's name for it is "tRNA-Val". It matches the Rfam family "tRNA". Rfam says of the family: Transfer RNA (tRNA) molecules are approximately 80 nucleotides in length. The record is from RNAcentral.